RNAcentral lists this ribosomal RNA (466 nucleotides) under uncultured bacterium. RNAcentral describes it as "partial 16S ribosomal RNA". It matches the Rfam family "Bacterial small subunit ribosomal RNA", at positions 339 to 795 of the family's 1533-position model. The record is from RNAcentral.
CUACGGGGGGCUGCAGUGGGGAAUAUUGGACAAUGGGCGGAAGCCUGAUCCAGCAAUGUCGCGUGUACGAAGAAGGCCUGCGGGUUGUAAAGCACUUUCGGUUGGGAGGACUGCUUCUAGCACUAAUAUUGUUGGAAGUUGACGUUACCUUCAGAAGAAGCACCGGCUAACUCCGUGCCAGCAGCCGCGGGUAAUACGGAGGGUGCAAGCGUUAAUCGGAAUUACUGGGCGUAAAGCGCGCGUAGGCGGCUAGAUCAGUCGGGUGUGAAAGCCCCGGGCUUAACCUGGGAACUGCAUCCGAUACUGUCUAGCUUGAGUACAGGAGAGGAGAGUGGAAUUCCACAUGUAGCGGUGAAAUGCGUAGAUAUGUGGAGGAACACCAAUGGCGAAGGCAGCUCUCUGGCCUGAUACUGACGCUGAGGCGUGAAAGCGUGGGGAGCAAACAGGAUUAGAUACCCGCGUAGUC